This is a non-coding RNA of Phrynosoma platyrhinos (Desert horned lizard), 72 nucleotides long. Lineage: Eukaryota; Metazoa; Chordata; Lepidosauria; Squamata; Phrynosomatidae. The record is from the annotation of a GenBank genome assembly.
GCUGGUGUGGCAUAGUGGUUUGAGCACUGGACUACAACUCUGGAGAUCAGGGUUUGAUUCCUUACUUGUGCA